RNAcentral lists this ribosomal RNA (117 nucleotides) under Clostridiales bacterium. Lineage: Bacteria; Bacillati; Bacillota; Clostridia; Eubacteriales. RNAcentral also lists the same sequence under 1 other name. The record is from RNAcentral.
GUCAGUGUUCCUUACAGCGAGGGUCCACCCGUUCCCAUUCCGAACACGGAAGUUAAGCUCGCUAGUGCCGAAAAUACUUGGUUGGUGACGACCUGGGAAAAUAGGUCAAUGCUGACA